UGGCGACCGGCGCACGGGUGAGUAACACGUAUCCAACCUGCCGAUGACUCGGGGAUAGCCUUUCGAAAGAAAGAUUAAUACCCGAUGGCAUAGUUCUUCCGCAUGGUGGAACUAUUAAAGAAUUUCGGUCAUCGAUGGGGAGUGCGUUCCAUUAGGUUGUUGGCGGGGUAACGGCCCACCAAGCCUUCGAUGGAUAGGGGUUCUGAGAGGAAGGUCCCCCACAUUGGUACUGAGACACGGACCAAACUCCUACGGGAGGCAGCAUG
Molecule: ribosomal RNA, 266 nt
Filed under: uncultured bacterium
Lineage: Bacteria
Description: partial 16S ribosomal RNA
Rfam family: Bacterial small subunit ribosomal RNA
Source: RNAcentral